AGCUUCAAAUUGAUUUGUUUUGAAAACAAAAAUAGGCAUAAGCCUGAAGCUU
This 52-nucleotide transfer RNA is filed under the name Rhinotergum shaoguanense. Its description in RNAcentral is "tRNA-Ser". Lineage: Eukaryota; Metazoa; Arthropoda; Arachnida; Trombidiformes; Diptilomiopidae. The record is from RNAcentral.